ACAUGUCAACAACACAGACAAGUUUUCCAUGACUUGCUCUGUUGCUUGGACGUUGAAGGCCUGCUGGCGUUUCACUACUGUCGGCUCCUUUUAAAUUCAUUAGCAGGAACUAUGCAAAACUGGCUUCAGUUUGAUAAGAUUGAACUGCUGUCAAAGAUGCAAUUGUUUUUCCAGCUUCUUAACUGUCCGGUUAACUGGACUGUCUCACCCUCGAGGCAAAUCAAUGACA
RNAcentral lists this unclassified non-coding RNA (229 nucleotides) under uncultured Basidiomycota. Its description in RNAcentral is "sequence contains ITS2". Lineage: Eukaryota; Fungi; Basidiomycota. The record is from RNAcentral.